This 460-nucleotide ribosomal RNA is filed under the name uncultured bacterium. Its description in RNAcentral is "partial 16S ribosomal RNA". It matches the Rfam family "Bacterial small subunit ribosomal RNA", at positions 338 to 795 of the family's 1533-position model. The record is from RNAcentral.
CCUACGGGAGGCAGCAGUGAGGAAUAUUGGUCAAUGGCCGGAAGGCUGAACCAGCCAUGCCGCGUGAAGGUCAGUGCCCUAUGGGCGUUAAACUUCUUUUGUGCGGGAGCAAUAAUGGUCACGUGUGACCAGACGAGAGUACCGUACGAAUAAGCAUCGGCUAACUCCGUGCCAGCAGCCGCGGUAAUACGGGGGAUGCAAGCGUUAUCCGGAUUUAUUGGGUUUAAAGGGUGCGUAGGCUGGGAGGUAAGUCAGCGGUGAAAUGCCCGCGCUCAACGGGGUGAAGUGCCAUUGAUACUGGCUGGCUGGAAUGCGGAUGCCGUAGGAGGAAUGUGUGGUGGAGCGGUGAAAUGCAUAGAUAUCACACAGAACACCGAUUGCGAAGGCAUCUCACGAAUCCGCGAUUGACGCUGAUGCACGAAAGCGUGGGUAUCAAACAGGAUUAGAUACCCGGGUAGUC